GACGAACGCUGGCGGCGUGCUUAACACAUGCAAGUCGAACGGUAAGGCUCCAGCUUGCUGGGGUACACGAGUGGCGAACGGGUGAGUAACACGUGGGUGACCUGCCCUGCACUUCGGGAUAAGCCUGGGAAACUGGGUCUAAUACCGGAUAGGACCGCACCGUGAGGGUGUGGUGGAAAGUUUUUUCGGUGUGGGAUGGGCCCGCGGCCUAUCAGCUUGUUGGUGGGGUAAUGGCCUACCAAGGCGGCGACGGGUAGCCGGCCUGAGAGGGUGGACGGCCACAUUGGGACUGAGACACGGCCCAGACUCCUACGGGAGGCAGCAGUGGGGAAUAUUGCACAAUGGGCGGAAGCCUGAUGCAGCGACGCCGCGUGGGGGAUGACGGCCUUCGGGUUGUAAACUCCUGUCACCAUCGACGAAGGGUUUCUGACGGUAGAUGGAGAAGAAGCACCGGCUAACUACGUGCCAGCAGCCGCGGUAAUACGUAGGGUGCGAGCGUUGUCCGGAAUUACUGGGCGUAAAGAGCUCGUAGGUGGUUUGUCGCGUCGUCUGUGAAAUUCCGGGGCUUAACUCCGGGCGUGCAGGCGAUACGGGCAUAACUUGAGUACUGUAGGGGAGACUGGAAUUCCUGGUGUAGCGGUGAAAUGCGCAGAUAUCAGGAGGAACACCGGUGGCGAAGGCGGGUCUCUGGGCAGUAACUGACGCUGAGGAGCGAAAGCAUGGGGAGCGAACAGGAUUAGAUACCCUGGUAGUCCAUGCCGUAAACGGUGGGCGCUAGGUGUGGGUUUCCUUCCACGGGAUCCGUGCCGUAGCUAACGCAUUAAGCGCCCCGCCUGGGGAGUACGGCCGCAAGGCUAAAACUCAAAGGAAUUGACGGGGGCCCGCACAAGCGGCGGAGCAUGUGGAUUAAUUCGAUGCAACGCGAAGAACCUUACCUGGGCUUGACAUAUACAGGAUCGCGCCAGAGAUGGUGUUUCCCUUGUGGCUUGUAUACAGGUGGUGCAUGGUUGUCGUCAGCUCGUGUCGUGAGAUGUUGGGUUAAGUCCCGCAACGAGCGCAACCCUUGUCUUAUGUUGCCAGCACGUUGUGGUGGGGACUCGUAAGAAACUGCCGGGGUUAACUCGGAGGAAGGUGGGGAUGACGUCAAAUCAUCAUGCCCCUUAUGUCCAGGGCUUCACACAUGCUACAAUGGUCGGUACAGUGGGUUGCCAGUCCGUGAGGGCGAGCUAAUCCCGCAAAGCCGGUCUCAGUUCGGAUCGGGGUCUGCAACUCGACCCCGUGAAGUCGGAGUCGCUAGUAAUCGCAGAUCAGCAACGCUGCGGUGAAUACGUUCCCGGGCCU
This 1341-nucleotide ribosomal RNA is filed under the name uncultured bacterium. RNAcentral's name for it is "16S ribosomal RNA". It matches the Rfam family "Bacterial small subunit ribosomal RNA", at positions 28 to 1381 of the family's 1533-position model. The record is from RNAcentral.